RNAcentral lists this ribosomal RNA (119 nucleotides) under Pteropus alecto (black flying fox). The record is from RNAcentral. Lineage: Eukaryota; Metazoa; Chordata; Mammalia; Chiroptera; Pteropodidae.
GUCUAUGGCCAUGCUACCCUGAACGAGCCCGAUCCCGUCUGAUCUCGGAAGCUAAGCAGCAUCAGGCCUGGUUAAUACUUGGAUGAGAGAACACCUAGGACGACCAGGUGCUGUGGGCG